CCUACGGGAGGCUGCAGUGGGGAAUAUUGGACAAUGGGCGAAAGCCUGAUCCAGCCAUGCCGCGUGUGUGAAGAAGGCCUUCGGGUUGUAAAGCACUUUCAGUGGGGAAGAAAGCCUUGGGGCUAAUACCCUCGAGGAAGGACAUCACCCACAGAAGAAGCACCGGCUAACUCCGGGCCAGCAGCCGCGGUAAUACGGAGGGUGCGAGCGUUAAUCGGAAUUACUGGGCGUAAAGCGCGCGUAGGCGGUCUGAUAAGCCGGUUGUGAAAGCCCCGGGCUCAACCUGGGAACGGCAUCCGGAACUGUCAGGCUAGAGUGCAGGAGAGGAAGGUAGAAUUCCCGGUGUAGCGGUGAAAUGCGUAGAGAUCGGGAGGAAUACCGGUGGCGAAGGCAGCCUUCUGGACUGACACUGACGCUGAGGUGCGAAAGCGUGGGUAGCAAACAGGAUUAGAUACCCUAGUAGUC
This 465-nucleotide ribosomal RNA is filed under the name Vreelandella stevensii. Its description in RNAcentral is "partial 16S ribosomal RNA". It matches the Rfam family "Bacterial small subunit ribosomal RNA", at positions 338 to 795 of the family's 1533-position model. The record is from RNAcentral. Lineage: Bacteria; Pseudomonadati; Pseudomonadota; Gammaproteobacteria; Oceanospirillales; Halomonadaceae.